RNAcentral lists this long non-coding RNA (5214 nucleotides) under Lathyrus oleraceus (garden pea). RNAcentral's name for it is "Pisum sativum (pea) long non-coding RNA (PSAT_LNC003805)". The record is from RNAcentral. Lineage: Eukaryota; Viridiplantae; Streptophyta; Magnoliopsida; Fabales; Fabaceae.
AAGAAGAAGGGUGGGUACAUAAACAAUUUUGAGCCUCAUAUCCUUUGUUUCGAUAACCGUGAACCAAGCCACGUUACAACCCUUAAAAGACCUAAUUGAAGUAGGGUUUAUUCCGAAAGCAUACUACAUCAAGGUUGCGUAAACUGACUCCUAAAAAUUUGCUAAUCUUUUACUUUGGUACAAUCUUCUUGUUGUAUCCUUCGCAUUGUUAAAUCAUCAUUGGGUUUGGAUUAAAAUGGUCCACUCGUCACACAUUAUCACAUCAUUCAAAUAAAUUCUUUUCAAAACUUGCAUGAGUAUCGCAUUAAAAUUACCAUUUCUGAACAAGCAAUUUUAACUGCAAGUCAGUACUUGACGUCAGGGAAAUUCCAACAAUAAGGAACAAUUAGAGGAACUUGGGCAUUCGUUGGUGCUAACCCGAAUCAAGACUACCUCAUAACCCACGAAUCAGGUGCAUGCCACCCAAAACAUCAAGUUGAUCAUAGGAAAAUUACUCCAAGAAUUGGUCAGUCUUAAACAGUCUCCAACAUCUGUUAAUAAAUGUGCAAAUCAUUUCAAGAAUUAGUUGAUCCAGAGCAAAUUAUCUCAGGACUCUAUUAACUAGGGGCAGAUCACCUAGAGGUUCUGUUGGCCAGGGGCAGACCCCUUCAAUGUUCAGUUAGGGUGAGUUAAGUCGCUUCAACGCUCAUACCGGGGCAAGCUACCUCAAGAGUACAGAAAAGUCAACCGCUCCAAGAGUCGGUUAACCAAGGAUAAAUCCUUUCAUGGAUCAAAAUUCUGGGGCAAUCCAUCUCCAAAUUAUGGUACAAUUGCUUUCAAAAUCCUUUCGAGGUAAACAUUUUGCAUAGACCCAUCACAUUGGGGCAAGAUGAGCCAUACAGGAGCAAGUCAUCUCCCUGACUUGAAGCUGUUCAAGCGAGAGCUUUUUCACACGUCAUCAACUGCAGAGUUCAAGAUGAGUGUCGGGGAAUCAUGCUAUCAUCCCAUAAAACAGCCAUCUGGCAGACAGAAGCCUUUCUGCAAAGAACCUUCUCUUCCAAUACCCACGCAGGGGCAUUUUGAAAACCUUCAAAUCAUUGCAUAAAGCAUCCUCAUGCAUUAGUCAUGUCACUUUGCUCUAAGAUAAAACCAUGCAUAUCAUAAAAUUCAUGGGGUCUAACCCCAUAACAUGAACCUGGCAUCAAAAAGCCUUGAAACACAAAAUCUGACACCAAUGCCCAACAUCGCUUGACCAUUUCAAAGUCCAGUUCUCGUCUGGCAAUUUAUUUCAAAGUCCAGUUCCCGUUUGGCAACUUAUUUCAAAAGCCCAGUUCCCGUCUGGAAAACCUUUUUCAAAAAAAACAGUUCCCGUCUGGCAAUUUAUUUCAAAGCCCAGUUCCCGUCUGGCAAUUUAUUUCGAAGUCCAGUUCUCGUCUGGCAACUUAUUCCAAAGUCCAGUUCCCGUCUGGCAAACUAUAUCAAAAAUCAGUUCUUGUACGACAAAUCAUUUGCCAAAUACUAGUUCUCGUCUGAUAAAUUAUCUCUUAAUACCAGUUCUCGUCUGGUAAAUUAUCUCUUAAUACCAGUUCUUGUCUGGUAAGUUAUCUAUUAAUACCAUUUCUCGUCUGGUAAAUUAUCUCUUAAUAUCAGUUCUCGUCUGGUAAAUUAUCUCUUAAAUACCAAUUCUCGUCUGAUAGUUAAUUAUUUUCACUAGUUCUCGUCUGGUAGCCUACUUUAAAAAUUAGUUCCUGUUUGACAAACAAAAACAAAUUCAGUCCUAUCUGACAUUUCAAUUAUUUUCACGAGUUCACGUCUGGUAACAUAUCCUUCAAGUGUUGUCCUCAUCUGGCAGUUCAAUCUCCUUCACCAGUUCUCAUUUGGCAGUUCCCAUUCUAAGUCCACACUAUUGGCAUCAAACCGCAAAGCAAAAAUGUCUUAACUAGGGGCAUGUCCAAAUACCCAUUUGCAUUCUAACAUGCAUCAUGUAAAUCAAUCAUACAUGGUUUUCCUACCAAACAGAAAAUUCAAAAAAACACAGUCAUAUCAAUCAUCAGCAUACUCAUGCAUAACACUCCCACAAAAUGGGAAUUUCAAUAAAAAAAUAAAAAUCAUUUGCAUUCCUACAUGCACAACCAAAUAUCCCCAGCAAUUGCAUACUUGCAUGCAUCUCAUACACCACCCCAUACAUGGUAUUCCCACCUAAAGUGGGACAUCAUACAAAAAUCAAAAGUAAAAUGUCAGGACCCAAGGUCAUUCAUGUAUAUCUUGGAUAUUCCUCAUUCCAAAUGAAGUUAUUACCCUGCAUAUGCUCGUGGGAUUAUAUCUCAGUAAAUCAUUUUUUCGACUUUAUGAUUAAAAAUGAUAUUUCCAACAUUUUUCUUUACAAUCAUUGCUCCCCAAGCAGAGGUUACCCUAAAAAGUCUCUUAUGAGCUUUUCCCCUGCAGAGCAUUUCUAGUAAAUCUCCCUCAAAAGGAGUAUUUUCUUAAAAAUUCCCCCAACAGACGAAUGUUCGAGAUACUGCUUCAUUUAUCUGAAGAAUCUCAUUUUUCUGUUUGAGAUACUGCUCUAAUAUCCUCGGAGAGUCUUAGAUUCAAUUAAAGUAUUUUUCCCUUGCUGGAAUAUUUUAAUUCUAUCAUAUAAGAUGUUGUUUUGACUCGAUACAGAGAAUCUCAUUUUUACUGUUUGAGAUACUGCUUCAUCAAUAUGAAGAGUCUCAUUUCAGAUUCUUUUAGAGAUACUGCUCUAAUAUCCUCGGAGAGUCUUAGAUUCGGUUAAGGUAUCUUUCCCUUGCUGGAAUAUCUUAAUUCUAUCAUAUAAGAUGCUGCUUCGACUCGAUACAGAGAGUCUCAUUUUUGCUGUUUGAGAUACUGCUUCAUCAAUAUGGAGAAUCUCAUUUCAGAUUUCUAGUCUAUGACGAGAUUCAUAGGAGCCUCUGUCUUAGAUUCAAUUAAGGUAUCAUUCCCUUGUUCGGAAUAUCUUAAUUCUAUCAUAUAAGAUGCUGCUUCGACUCGAUACAGAGAAUCUCAUUUUUACUAUUUGAGAUACUGCUUCAUCAACAUGAAGAGUCUCAUUUCAGAUUUUUUUAGAGAUACUGCUCUAAUAUCCUCGGAGAGUCUUAGAUUCAAUUAAAGUAUUUUUCCCUUGCUGAAAUAUUUUAAUUCUAUCAUAUGAGAUGCUGCUUCGACUCGAUACAGAGAAUCUCAUUUUUACUGUUGAAAUGCUGCUUCAUCAAUAUGAAGAGUCUCAUGCCAGAUUUUCUUUAUAUUGCUCUAGCAUCCUGGAAAACUCUUGAGAUUUAGCUAGGAAUGUCAUUCUAUUACUAACAUAUCUCGACCAUGACGUCCAAGAUACUGUUCUGACGACUCCCAGAAAGUCUUGGCUGUUCCAUUUUACUUUAGGAUAACGUCUCUCACUAUUUCUCACUGCAUUUUCUUCCUUGCAUUUCAAAGGACAAAAUUUGGGUCUUUUCGUAUUUAAUUAUCUUCCACUACGAAUGUAUGAAGACUCUUGUCGUUCUUACCUUCUAGUUCAAGAUAAUGAAAUAGGGGCAACUGUCAUACCCCAAUUUUGUCCGGGCAUUUUAAAUUUUCAUAAAUUCAAUUUAAUUUUCAGUUUACAACAUAUGUACAUCAUAAUAUGCAUUUUAUCAUUAAUAAUACCUGAAAUAUCAGUCAGGAUAAACUUAUUAAAAAUACAGACAAAUCGGUUGAAUCUUUUCUCAAGUACGGACCAAAUCAGCGGGUAAAAAAUUUCAGAAUUAAAAUUACAGACAUCAGUAUUAUUAAUCUACAGUUCAUGUAGUUUAACCUGGUGUGCUCGUUGUAUUUUUCAGCAGCUGUUUCAGUUGUGUUUUGACCCGCCUGAGCCUUUUAACCGAUGCAAACUUAUUCUAGAAUUUGAAGAAACGCUGUAUUUUUUCAAUAAGUAUAUUUUGUGCUGAUCAUUUUAGUGUGUCUGAUUUAAUUUUUCGAGCAAAUUUUUGUCCGAAUUUUAUUCAUUUUUAGUCGUUUUAAUUUUAUUCUUUCGUCAAAAUAGUCAGAUUAAAUAAAUAGAAUUUUUCAUGUUAUUAUUUUAAUUUUAUCAUGAUUAUUUAAAAAGUUGUGAAUUUUAUUUGAUUCAAUUGAUUAAAAUUGUUUUAAAUCGAUUAAGUCAUCUAAAAAAAGGCAUUAUAUGUAUUUUGAUUUAUUUAAUUAGGAUGUGUUUCUUUGAUUCAAUCUGAAUCGUUGAUUCAAAUUAAUCAAAGGCCCAUGUUAGCAAUCCAUACUCAUUUCCAAUAUCCAAUCAUAAAAUAGAAAUUUAAAUAAAUAGUUAAAUAGAAAAUUAGAAAAUAUUAAAAAAUAUCUCUUUCAAUCCAAUUGCCAGGUGCCACGUGACAAUCUUAUCUUCUUGUGAAUGGUACAGGCUUGGCAAAUGGUCCUAUCACUCCUUUCCAACGGUAACAAAAAUAAUAUUAAAAAAGGGAGGCAUACGUUUCCAUGGGCCACUUACAUAUUAACUGAUGCUCUCUCCUCCAAAGAUAGAAAAAAAUGAAAUAGAAAGUGAAAAGGAGAAAGGUGGAUUCACGUUCACGAUAAAAUAAUAAAAGAAGGAAAAAGAAGAAAUCUCUCUCACUCACCUCACUAUCACCCACCUCCACUAACAAACCAAACCCUCGCCGUUUACCGUUUUCAACAUUACAAACCCAUUCACCUUCAUCAACUCACCUUCCGACCGUCACCAACCUCCGCCAUGAUUAUCGCUAUGAAAUCUCCUCACCCAAACACACCUUUCAUCAACUACUCAUAGCCUCGCCGCAAUUACCAACUCUGAUACGUCUUAAUUCCGGUUUCCACUCUGAUUACGUUUCGAUUAGAUUAAGCUUGUGAUAAGUUUUCUGUUUAGAUCUGUUGCAGGUUCUAGCAUCGAAGUUACUUUUUCCAGGAGAAGAAAAACGUUUGAGAAACAAUGCUCCAGAUCUGUUUCUACCGAAGCUACAACGCCAACUCGGCGGUGAUUCUCAACAACAAUGAAGCGGAAGCAUCAAACAACAAUGGAACCUUGUUUUCUUCCUUUUUUUUUUUGCUUUAAUGCGAUUGGGUUUUUGUCUGUUUGAUUUUUUUGCAGCUCAUUGCCGCUCAUAAUCGUUGCGGGUUCGAUUCAGGAUCUAUAUUCAAUUUUGAACUGAUUACGACAUCGUCAGAGUCCAUUCCAUUUCUAACCGCACAAGAAUAACCACCGUGUACACAUCUCAUGGG